GCUGAGCAACUCACCCCAUGACAUUGAGUGGUGGAGCCAGCAUGUGGGCCCAGAUGUAACUGAACACAGUCCCCUAUGCUAUGCUGCAAGAAAAGAGUCAGGUCAACUGGUGUCCAGCCUCAGCCCCACAGGUGGCUGGAGUAUGAAGAGGGGUUACCAGGAGUGGGGUUCCAGGGCCCCAUCUCGUUUUUAAUCACAGUGAUCAGGAUGUGGCCAUUCUCAACCUGUUGAAGAGUGCAAAAAAGUACCUACAGAAGCAGAAAAAUGCGCAAGAAGACCACAUUUUUCUCUCCGCUUCCAUUCAACAGACCAGGAGGCUGCAGAAGGUUAGGUGGGCAGGCAGUGCCCAAACAGCAGGAGAGCCAGGAGUUGCUGGGAGAGUGAGGCUGCCUCUCUUCCACUCUGUGGCAUCCUGUCCUGGCAGGCUGCUCCCUGCAAGGCAGACACCUUCUCCCACACAGACUCACCUUGACCUGCGACUCGGUCAUCCCCAGUGAGUAUGCCAGCCGUGCCCUCUCAGGGCCAGCCAGGUACUUGGUCUGUUCAAAGGUCUUCUCCAGGGCAAAGAUCUGAUG
Neofelis nebulosa (Clouded leopard) is the source of this 575-nucleotide long non-coding RNA. RefSeq lists it as uncharacterized. NCBI's taxonomy places the organism in Eukaryota, Metazoa, Chordata, Mammalia, Carnivora, Felidae. The record is from RefSeq and is a predicted model, not a curated record. The transcript is spliced from 3 exons.